Molecule: transfer RNA, 82 nt
Filed under: Bacteroidales bacterium
Lineage: Bacteria; Pseudomonadati; Bacteroidota; Bacteroidia; Bacteroidales
Description: tRNA-Leu
Rfam family: tRNA
About the family: Transfer RNA (tRNA) molecules are approximately 80 nucleotides in length. Their secondary structure includes four short double-helical elements and three loops (D, anti-codon, and T loops).
Source: RNAcentral
GCCCAGGUGGCGGAAUGGUAGACGCGCUCGUUUCAGGUGCGAGUGUUUAAUAGACGUGCAAGUUCGACUCUUGUUCUGGGCA